This 367-nucleotide long non-coding RNA is filed under the name Vigna radiata. RNAcentral's name for it is "long non-coding RNA (VRAD_LNC014572)". Lineage: Eukaryota; Viridiplantae; Streptophyta; Magnoliopsida; Fabales; Fabaceae. The record is from RNAcentral.
UUGCAUGGGGGAAAUUGAAAGGCAAUUGAAAAAGCAUUGAGCUCAAAUGUUGUGAAAGAAAAAUACAUGAGAAAAAGAAAAGAAAAGAAGAAAAGCAUGAAGAUGGGCUCAAUGCAAAAGAAAAGGGAAAAAGUUAGGAAUAAGUGAGAUUGGUGAGGAAGAGAGUUGUGCUUAAAUGUUGAAUACUAUGAUAGCUCUCUUAACUCAAGGAUUUUGCAUUCUAGAAAAACCAAUUCUUCUUGUUAGCCCAACCUCAUUACAAGCCUUGGAAAAGUCAUUUUGAUGGCAUUUGCAUGUAAGGAUUUAGGUUGUUUAAGAUGAAGGGAAAUUUUGUUUCAUGUGACUUGUGAAUGAUAGAGUGUUGGAG